This 695-nucleotide ribosomal RNA is filed under the name uncultured Bacilli bacterium. Its description in RNAcentral is "bacterial SSU rRNA". It matches the Rfam family "Bacterial small subunit ribosomal RNA", at positions 46 to 719 of the family's 1533-position model. Lineage: Bacteria; Bacillati; Bacillota; Bacilli. The record is from RNAcentral.
GCACUGGCCCAACUGAUUGAUGGUGCUUGCACCUGAUUGACGAUGGAUCACCAGUGAGUGGCGGACGGGUGAGUAACACGUAGGUAACCUGCCCUGGAGCGGGGGAUAACAUUUGGAAACAGAUGCUAAUACCGCAUAGCAACAAAAGCCACAUGGCUUUUGUUUGAAAGAUGGCUUUGGCUAUCACUCUGGGAUGGACCUGCGGUGCAUUAGCUAGUUGGUAAGGUAACGGCUUACCAAGGCGAUGAUGCAUAGCCGAGUUGAGAGACUGAUCGGCCACAAUGGAACUGAGACACGGUCCAUACUCCUACGGGAGGCAGCAGUAGGGAAUCUUCCACAAUGGGCGCAAGCCUGAUGGAGCAACACCGCGUGAGUGAAGAAGGGUUUCGACUCGUAAAGCUCUGUUGUUGGAGAAGAACGUGCGUGAGAGUAACUGUUCACGCAGUGACGGUAUCCAACCAGAAAGUCACGGCUAACUACGUGCCAGCAGCCGCGGUAAUACGUAGGUGGCAAGCGUUAUCCGGAUUUAUUGGGCGUAAAGCGAGCGCAGGCGGUUGCUUAGGUCUGAUGUGAAAGCCUUCGGCUUAACCGAAGAAGUGCAUCGGAAACCGGGCGACUUGAGUGCAGAAGAGGACAGUGGAACUCCAUGUGUAGCGGUGGAAUGCGUAGAUAUAUGGAAGAACACCAGUGGCGAA